GUGGGGAAUAUUGGACAAUGGGGGGAACCCUGAUCCAGCCAUGCCGCGUGUGUGAAGAAGGUCUUCGGAUUGUAAAGCACUUUAAGUUGGGAGGAAGGGCAGUAAGUUAAUACCUUGCUGUUUUGACGUUACCGACAGAAUAAGCACCGGCUAACUUCGUGCCAGCAGCCGCGGUAAUACGAAGGGUGCAAGCGUUAAUCGGAAUUACUGGGCGUAAAGCGCGCGUAGGUGGUUUUGUAAGUUGGAGGUGAAAUCCCCGGGCUCAACCUGGGAACUGCCUCCAAAACUGCAUGACUAGAGUACGGUAGAGGGUAGUGGAAUUUCCUGUGUAGCGGUGAAAUGCGUAGAUAUAGGAAGGAACACCAGUGGCGAAGGCGACUACCUGGACUGAUACUGACACUGAGGUGCGAAAGCGUGGGGAGCAAACAGGAUUAGAAACCCUAGUAGUCC
This 450-nucleotide ribosomal RNA is filed under the name uncultured bacterium. RNAcentral describes it as "partial 16S ribosomal RNA". It matches the Rfam family "Bacterial small subunit ribosomal RNA", at positions 354 to 796 of the family's 1533-position model. The record is from RNAcentral.